This 481-nucleotide ribosomal RNA is filed under the name uncultured bacterium. RNAcentral's name for it is "bacterial SSU rRNA". It matches the Rfam family "Bacterial small subunit ribosomal RNA", at positions 28 to 507 of the family's 1533-position model. The record is from RNAcentral.
GAUGAACGCUAGCGGGAGGCUUAACACAUGCAAGGUCGAGGGGUAAAUGGCAGCAAUGCUAUGAGACCGGCGGACGGGUGCGUAACGCGUAUGCAACAUACCUUGUGCAGGGGGAUAGCCCGUGGAAACGCGGAUUAAUAUUCCAUAGUCCAGCUGUAUCGCAUGGUAUAGUUGGUAAAGAUUUAUCGGCACAAGUUUGGCAUGCGUCUGAUUAGCUUGUUGGUAGGGUAACGGCCUACCAAGGCGACGAUCAGUAGCUGGCCUGAGAGGGUGGUCAGCCACAAUGGGACUGAGAUACGGCCCAUACUCCUACGGGGGGCAGCAGUCUAGAGGCUUCCGCAAUGGGGGAAACCCUGACGGAGCGACGCCGCGUGUGGGAUGAAGUCUUUCGGGAUGUAAACCAUUUUCGCUGGGAAAGAAGGUCUCAGUCGUGAACUGAGAAUUGACGGUACCCGGUAAAGAAGCCCCGGCUAACUCCGUG